AGGGCAUAUAAAAUGUGGCAAAAUAAAUUAAAAUGGUUUAGGCCACUUUAGUGAUAAAAGUGCAGUUUUAAGCCCAAUUCAGCCCAGGAGCUUGAGCCUCUGAAUUCCCCAAAGUGGCUUAGUUCAUUUUACUGAUGGAAAACCCAUUUUCAAGUCCAAUUCUCAAUAUAUGAUCUCCCAGUUAAGACGGUACUGGAAAGUUGAUCGUUAUGAGUUGUGUUACGCAAAGUGAUUUAACCAAACCGAAAUCAAAGAGUCCAAAAUCAGCGUGUGGGGAUGAAUGAGGCUACCGCAAAUUCGACAGAAUAAAUAUACAGCGACAACAAUUUUCCACCGCUAAGCAUCUAAAGCAAGAGGGUCUCCCCUAGUAAGGCCACACUUGUUUUAAUACAAUCUCUGCAGAGCACAUCACAUGGACAGCAAACAUCUUCCUCAUAAAAUACUUCAGAACAGAUCAUUUUUCCUGAUCCAAACAAGCAGUGGCCUCAAGUAGAACAGCAAAGAUUACGCUUCUGUUUGAUAGCUAAUCUCGCAGGUAAGUCCCACCUGGCCUGCAGUUCUUCAAAACAAUCGAGUGGAACGCCAAUAUCAUGUAAAUGUAGUCUGGAUUGAGACUGAGGAUCAAGGUAUCCAAAAGUCCAAACUUCCCAAGGUCAAGAGUGGUCACCAAUAUCAGAGGAAUUGGUUGAGACGACAGAAGGCAGGUGUAGUUCAUAGAUUGCCUUGUUUCCUUCACUAUAACUACCUAUGCAUAUUGUGUCACCCCGACCAUGCCAGGUGCCAUCUUGGACAUUGUUCAUCUCCAAUGUUCUGGACUCCUGGGAUAACGCACAGCAGGAGCAGAAAAUAUGGUAGACGCAAUCAUCCAGGGAACUAUCACUACCCCUGAUAUUAAAUUUCUUUCUCAUCUGUGUGCGGAAGAAACUCAAAUACAUUCCUAUUGAAAUAAUAAAAGCAACUGCCAAAUAUAGAAAGCAACGCCGCUUGGUGAUUAUGAAGGCAAUGAAGUUGAGGAGCGCGCUAAGAGCAAGAAUGUAAUAUACAGUUCCCUGAAGAAAACAAGAACCAAACCCAGCUCGUCUCAUGUUCUUCCCAAAUCUGUAGCAUGGACAACAAAGGGAUUCAAUAGCGAUGCGGCGGUCAUCGAAGCAAUUAAGGACUUCUCCUUCCCACAUCCUAAAAACACCACCAAAUUCCGCUCCAAUAGCAGCGUUAGCAUCAAAAUCUGCAGUUUCUAGUUUCUUCCAUUUCCCUUGAGUCUGCAACGCCACCGUCGAACACAACACAUCAAAAUCCAAGACUGUCAUUCCCUCCACAAGCCUAUCCUUCUCCUGCUCCUCCACAUCCACCACAGCCAUCUUUCCAUCCACCACCUGACUCUCCAAAUCCCCCAUCUCAAAACUCAACUAGGGUUCCCUUUCACUUUCCCUGUGCGCCCUCUCCUUCACGUGUACCUGAAAAAAAGCACCUUCCAUUUUAUCAGAAGCAGAAAUGUAUCAUUUUUAUAUCAAGGCUGGC
This 1518-nucleotide unclassified non-coding RNA is filed under the name Hevea brasiliensis (rubber tree). Lineage: Eukaryota; Viridiplantae; Streptophyta; Magnoliopsida; Malpighiales; Euphorbiaceae. The record is from RNAcentral.